Molecule: transfer RNA, 76 nt
Filed under: Crossiella cryophila
Lineage: Bacteria; Bacillati; Actinomycetota; Actinomycetes; Pseudonocardiales; Pseudonocardiaceae
Also listed under: 6 other names
Description: tRNA-Lys
Rfam family: tRNA
About the family: Transfer RNA (tRNA) molecules are approximately 80 nucleotides in length. Their secondary structure includes four short double-helical elements and three loops (D, anti-codon, and T loops).
Source: RNAcentral
GGGCCGCUAGCUCAACUGGCAGAGCAGCGGACUUUUAAUCCGCGGGUUGUGGGUUCGAGUCCCACGCGGCCCACCA